GGAUUAGAUACCCUGGUAGUCCACGCCGUAAACGUUGGGCGCUAGGUGUGGGGCCCUUUCCACGGGCUCCGCGCCGCAGCUAACGCAUUAAGCGCCCCGCCUGGGGAGUACGGCCGCAAGGCUAAAACUCAAAGGAAUUGACGGGGCCCCGCACAAGCGGCGGAGCAUGCUGAUUAAUUCGAUGCAACGCGAAGAACCUUACCAAGGCUUGACAUAUACCGAAAACUGCUGGAGACAGCAGGUCCGCAAGGGCGGUAUACAGGUGGUGCAUGGUUGUCGUCAGCUCGUGCCG
RNAcentral lists this ribosomal RNA (292 nucleotides) under uncultured bacterium. RNAcentral describes it as "partial 16S ribosomal RNA". It matches the Rfam family "Bacterial small subunit ribosomal RNA", at positions 775 to 1067 of the family's 1533-position model. The record is from RNAcentral.